This 71-nucleotide transfer RNA is filed under the name Marmota monax (woodchuck). It matches the Rfam family "tRNA". From Rfam's summary of the family: Transfer RNA (tRNA) molecules are approximately 80 nucleotides in length. Their secondary structure includes four short double-helical elements and three loops (D, anti-codon, and T loops). Further hydrogen bonds mediate the characteristic L-shaped molecular structure. tRNAs have two regions of fundamental functional importance: the anti-codon, which is responsible for specific mRNA codon recognition, and the 3' end, to which the tRNAs corresponding amino acid is attached (by aminoacyl-tRNA synthetases). tRNAs cope with the degeneracy of the genetic code in two manners: having more than one tRNA (with a specific anti-codon) for a particular amino acid; and 'wobble' base-pairing, i.e. permitting non-standard base-pairing at the 3rd anti-codon position. Lineage: Eukaryota; Metazoa; Chordata; Mammalia; Rodentia; Sciuridae. The record is from Rfam by way of RNAcentral.
GUGGAUGUAGCUCAGUGGUGAAGUGCUUGUCCAACAUGUAAAAAGCUCUGGGUUCAACCCCCAGUACCACA